CUAGUAACGGCGAGUGAAGCGGCAACAGCUCAAAUUUGAAAUCUGGCGCAAGCCCGAGUUGUAAUUUGUAGAGGAUGCUUCUGGGUAGCGACCGGUCUAAGUUCCUUGGAACAGGACGUCAUAGAGGGUGAGAAUCCCGUAUGUGACCGGCCCGCACCCUUUACGUAGCUCCUUCGACGAGUCGAGUUGUUUGGGAAUGCAGCUCUAAAUGGGAGGUAAAUUUCUUCUAAAGCUAAAUACCGGCCAGAGACCGAUAGCGCACAAGUAGAGUGAUCGAAAGAUGAAAAGUACUUUGGAAAGAGAGUUAAAAAGCACGUGAAAUUGUUGAAAGGGAAGCGCCUGCAAUCAGACUUCGCGGCAGUGUUCCACCGGUCUUCUGACCGGUCUAUUCUCUGCCGCGAGGCCAUCAUCGUCUCGGCCCGCUGGAUAAGACCUUGGGAAUGUAGCUCACCUUCGGGGGAGUGUUAUAGCUCAUGGUGAUGCAGCGAGGCUGGGGCGAGGUCCGCGCUUUGGCAAGGAUGAUGGCGUAAUGGUUGUCGGCGGCCCGUCUUGAAACACGGACCAAGGAGUCUAACAUCUAUGCGAGUGUUCGGGUGUCAAACCCCUACGCGUAAUGAAAGUGAACGGAGGUGGGAACCGCAAGGUGCACCAUCGACCGAUCCUGAUGUCCUCGGAUGGAUUUGAGUAAGAGCAUAGCUGUUGGGACCCGAAAGAUGGUGAACUAUGCCUGAAUAGGGUGAAGCCAGAGGAAACUCUGGUGGAGGCUCGCAGCGGUUCUGACGUGCAAAUCGAUCGUCAAAUUUGGGUAUAGGGGCGAAAGACUAAUCGAACCAUCUAGUAGCUGGUUCCUGCCG
Molecule: ribosomal RNA, 854 nt
Filed under: Miuraea persicae
Lineage: Eukaryota; Fungi; Ascomycota; Dothideomycetes; Mycosphaerellales; Mycosphaerellaceae
Description: eukaryotic LSU rRNA
Rfam family: Eukaryotic large subunit ribosomal RNA
Source: RNAcentral